RNAcentral lists this ribosomal RNA (253 nucleotides) under uncultured bacterium. RNAcentral's name for it is "partial 16S ribosomal RNA". It matches the Rfam family "Bacterial small subunit ribosomal RNA", at positions 524 to 776 of the family's 1533-position model. The record is from RNAcentral.
CACGAACCGUACGAACGUUAUUCGGAAUCACUGGGCUUACAGAGUUCGUAGGCGGUCUGGAAAGUUGGGUGUGAAAUCCCUCGGCUCAACCGAGGAACUGCGCUUGAAACUACCAGACUCGAGGGAGAUAGAGGAAAGCGGAACUGAUGGUGGAGCGGUGAAAUGCGUUGAUAUCAUCAGGAACACCGGUGGCGAAGGCGGCUUUCUGGGUCUUACCUGACGCUGAGGAACGAAAGCCAGGGGAGCGAACGGG